This 406-nucleotide ribosomal RNA is filed under the name uncultured bacterium. RNAcentral's name for it is "partial 16S ribosomal RNA". It matches the Rfam family "Bacterial small subunit ribosomal RNA", at positions 30 to 526 of the family's 1533-position model. The record is from RNAcentral.
AUUGAACGCUGGCGUCAGGCCUAACACAUGCAAGUCGAACGAGUGGCGGACGGGUGAGUAAUGUCUGGGAAACUGCCCGAUGGAGGGGGAUAACUACUGGAAACGGUAGCUAAUACCGCAUACCCUCUGAUGUGCCCAGAUGGGAUUAGCUAGUCGGUGGGGUAACGGCUCACCUAGGCGACGAUCCCUAGCUGGUCUGAGAGGAAGACCAGCCACACUGGAACUGGGACACGGUCCAGACUCCGACGGGAGGCAGCAGUGGGGAAUAUUGCACAAUGGGCGCAAGCCUGAUGCAGCCAUGCCGCGUGUAUGAAGAAGGCCUUCGGGUUGUAAAGUACUUUCAGCGAGGAGGCGUUACUCGCAGAAGAAGCACCGGCUAACUCCGUGCCAGCAGCCGCGGUAAUUC